Small nuclear RNA from Solea solea (common sole), 76 nucleotides. The record is from RefSeq and is a predicted model, not a curated record. Lineage: Eukaryota; Metazoa; Chordata; Actinopteri; Pleuronectiformes; Soleidae.
CUGUCGUAUGAGAGGAGAGAAGGUUAGCACUCUCCUUGACAAAAAUGGAGGGGCAGAAAGUUAGUAAAAUAUUAGU